RNAcentral lists this ribosomal RNA (482 nucleotides) under uncultured bacterium. RNAcentral describes it as "partial 16S ribosomal RNA". It matches the Rfam family "Bacterial small subunit ribosomal RNA", at positions 28 to 507 of the family's 1533-position model. The record is from RNAcentral.
GACGAACGCUGGCGGCGUGCUUAACACAUGCAAGUCGAACGCUGAAGCUCAGCUUGCUGGGUGGAUGAGUGGCGAACGGGUGAGUAGCACGUGAGUAACCUGCCCUCUUCUUUGGGAUAACGCCCGGAAACGGGUGCUAAUACUGGAUAUUCACUGAUUCUCGCAUGGGGGUUGGUGGAAAGGUUUUUUCUGGUGGGGGAUGGGCUCGCGGCCUAUCAGCUUGUUGGUGGGGUGAUGGCCUACCAAGGCUUUGACGGGUAGCCGGCCUGAGAGGGUGACCGGUCACAUUGGGACUGAGAUACGGCCCAGACUCCUACGGGAGGCAGCAGUGGGGAAUAUUGCACAAUGGGCGAAAGCCUGAUGCAGCGACGCCGCGUGAGGGAUGGAGGCCUUCGGGUUGUAAACCUCUUUCGCUCAUGGUCAAGCCGCAGCUUUGGGUUGUGGUGAGGGUAGUGGGUAAAGAAGCGCCGGCUAACUACGUG